This 254-nucleotide ribosomal RNA is filed under the name uncultured bacterium. RNAcentral's name for it is "partial 16S ribosomal RNA". It matches the Rfam family "Bacterial small subunit ribosomal RNA", at positions 524 to 776 of the family's 1533-position model. The record is from RNAcentral.
UACGUAGGGGGCAAGCGUUGUCCGGAUUUAUUGGGCGUAAAGAGCUCGUAGGUGGUUCGGUAAGUCGGAUGUGAAAUCUCCAGGCUCAACCUGGAGGGGUCAUUCGAUACUGCCGUGACUAGAGUUCGGUAGGGGAGUGUGGAAUUCCUGGUGGAGCGGUGAAGUGCGCAGAUAUCAGGAGGAACACCCGUAGCGAAGGCGGCACUCUGGGCCGAUACUGACACUGAGGAGCGAAAGCGUGGGGAGCGAACAGG